UACAUGAGUGGUAAGCGUUAUCCGUAGUUAUUGAGUGUAAAAGAUGCGCAGAUGUAAAGUGUAAUUUUAAUGAACUAAGUUGGAAAACCAGACUUCUUUAAAAUUAAAGCUUUGUAGAAUAAAGAUAAACUAUACACUUUUUACAUAUUAGCGAUGAAAUGCAGUGAGUAUGUAAGGAUUACCAAGAAUGAAAAUAGUAUUGUUAUCUUUAUCGACGUUGAGGCAUGAAAGCAGAAUUAUCGACAAGGAUUAGCGACCCUUUUAGUUUUUGCUGUAAAAGAUGAAUAUUAGGCUACUUGAUUUGAAGAUUGGGUGGUCUUAGUAAACGCGUUAAAUAUUCUACUUGGGUAGUACAAUUGCAAAAUUGAAACUUAACAGAAUUGGCGGGAAUUUGUAUAACAGUGGAAUAUGUGGUUUAAUGCGAUAAUCCCCGCAAAACCUUACUAACAUUUUAAAUUAUUGAAUUUCAAAAGGUGUAAUGAUCUAUUUUGAUAAUAUAAUUUUCUAGGUCCUGCAUGGCUGUCGUCAUUCGUGUUGUGAAAUGUAUAAUUUAGUUUUUAAACGAAUGUAACCCAAAGUUAUAGUUUAAUUUUAUAUUUUUAUGUGUAAAUAUAAAAUUUUUUAUAACAUGCACUUUACCGCGUAUUUAUAAUAUACUGGUAAGUUUUAGUUUGGAAGUUGGCUGACGGCAAGUCUUUAUGGGCCUCAUAUGUUAGGCUACACACGUAUUACAAAGAUAAAAACAAGAAGUAGUUAGGUGUAAACUUUAACAAAUCUUUAAAAAUUAUCGAGGUUCGGAUUAUUUUCUGUAAGUCGAAAGUAUGAAGGCGAAAUUGUUAGUAAUCAUAAAAUAGUAUGUUAUGGUGAAUAUAGUUACAAAUUUUGCACACACCGCCCAUCACGCCC
Molecule: ribosomal RNA, 906 nt
Filed under: Zosterodasys sp. 1 PW-2017
Lineage: Eukaryota; Ciliophora; Nassophorea; Synhymeniida; Orthodonellidae
Description: SSU rRNA
Rfam family: Bacterial small subunit ribosomal RNA
Source: RNAcentral